GACGAACGCUGGCGGCGUGCUUAACACAUGCAAGUCGAACGGUAAGGCCCUUCGGGGUACACGAGUGGCGAACGGGUGAGUAACACGUGGGUGAUCUGCCCUGCACUUCGGGAUAAGCCUGGGAAACUGGGUCUAAUACCGGAUAGGACCAUUGCCUGCAUGGGUGGUGGUGGAAAGCUUUUGCGGUGUGGGAUGGGCCCGCGGCCUAUCAGCUUGUUGGUGGGGUGAUGGCCUACCAAGGCGACGACGGGUAGCCGGCCUGAGAGGGUGACCGGCCACACUGGGCCGGGGUUACGGCCCAGACCCCUACGGGAGGCAGCGGUGGGGAAUAUUGCACAAUGGGCGCAAGCCUGAUGCAGCGACGCCGCGUGAGGGAUGACGGCCUUCGGGUUGUAAGCCUCUUUCAGCACCGACGAAGCGCAAGUGACGGUAGGUGCAGAAGAAGGACCGGCCAACUACGUGCCAGCCGCCGCCGUAA
RNAcentral lists this ribosomal RNA (478 nucleotides) under uncultured bacterium. Its description in RNAcentral is "partial 16S ribosomal RNA". It matches the Rfam family "Bacterial small subunit ribosomal RNA", at positions 28 to 523 of the family's 1533-position model. The record is from RNAcentral.